GACGAACGCUGGCGGCGUGCUUAACACAUGCAAGUCGAGCGGUAAGGCCCUUUCGGGGGUACACGAGCGGCGAACGGGUGAGUAACACGUGGGUGACCUGCCCUCAGCUCUGGAUAAGCCUGGGAAACCGGGUCUAAUACCGGAUAUGACUCCAUGACGCAUGUUGUGGGGUGGAAAGCCUUGUGCGGCUGAGGAUGGGCCCGCGGCCUAUCAGCUUGUUGGUGGGGUGAUGGCCUACCAAGGCGACGACGGGUAGCCGGCCUGAGAGGGCGACCGGCCACACUGGGACUGAGACACGGCCCAGACUCCUACGGGAGGCAGCAGUGGGGAAUCUUGCGCAAUGGGCGAAAGCCUGACGCAGCGACGCCGCGUGAGGGAUGACGG
This 384-nucleotide ribosomal RNA is filed under the name uncultured bacterium. RNAcentral's name for it is "bacterial SSU rRNA". It matches the Rfam family "Bacterial small subunit ribosomal RNA", at positions 28 to 414 of the family's 1533-position model. The record is from RNAcentral.